AUUUCUUUUAACUUCACGUUUCACAACCCCAACCAUUUUAUUAUCUGUCAUAUCUCUCAAAACCCUAAUUAUUCAUCUCUUCCUCCAAUAAAAAAAUCUUCACCGCCACCGCGAAGUGUUACUGUCUCCAACACCGCCUUUAUUGCCUCCGCCGCUAGCAACGAAGAAGUACGCGAGAUCUGAAGAAUUAUUCAGCAACGAAUCGCUGCCACGUACAAACUUUUCCUCAACGUUCUGUUUAAUCCACCACCGCCGCGUCACCAUCUUGUGUUUAUUGCCCCGCCAAAUCUGUUUUUUUUCAGAUCCGAAGCCAACGAAUACCUUUAUCUGAGGUGGAGUGAACAUGGAGGGGAUGACUAUGUGGAUGAUGCUUGAGAAAUGUAACAAUAAGAAGAAGAUUACAUCGAGUAUGCUCGUUCAUGGGAGAGAAGAUGGUUGUUUCAUAGUUGGCUUGUUAGAAUUUAUAGUUUGAUAGUUUGUAGUAGAUUUUCUUAGUGAGUUACGUUAUUUACAUAGUGAAUUUUGAUAUAUUUGUGAUGGAUUUUUGCAAUGGAGUACUUUAAUUAUAUAGUGGUUUUCGAUAA
Erythranthe guttata (spotted monkey flower) is the source of this 584-nucleotide long non-coding RNA. RefSeq lists it as uncharacterized. Lineage: Eukaryota; Viridiplantae; Streptophyta; Magnoliopsida; Lamiales; Phrymaceae. The record is from RefSeq and is a predicted model, not a curated record.